This 492-nucleotide ribosomal RNA is filed under the name uncultured bacterium. RNAcentral describes it as "partial 16S ribosomal RNA". It matches the Rfam family "Bacterial small subunit ribosomal RNA", at positions 29 to 507 of the family's 1533-position model. The record is from RNAcentral.
AGUGAACGCUGGCGGUAGGCCUAACACAUGCAAGUCGAACGGCAGCACAGUAAGAGCUUGCUCUUACGGGUGGCGAGUGGCGGACGGGUGAGGAAUACAUCGGAAUCUACUUUUUCGUGGGGGAUAACGUAGGGAAACUUACGCUAAUACCGCAUACGACCUACGGGUGAAAGCAGGGGAUCUUCGGACCUUGCGCGUUUGAAUGAGCCGAUGUCGGAUUAGCUAGUUGGCGGGGUAAAGGCCCACCAAGGCGACGAUCCGUAGCUGGUCUGAGAGGAUGACCAGCCACACUGGAACUGAGACACGGUCCAGACUCCUACGGGAGGCAGCAGUGGGGAAUAUUGGACAAUGGGCGCAAGCCUGAUCCAGCAAUACCGCGUGGGUGAAGAAGGCCUUCGGGUUGUAAAGCCCUUUUGUUGGGAAAGAAAAGCAGCAGGUUAAUACCCCGCUGUUCUGACGGUACCCAAAGAAUAAGCACCGGCUAACUUCGUG